UAAGGAAUAUUGGUCAAUGGACGCAAGUCUGAACCAGCCAUGCCGCGUGGAGGAUGAAGGUCCUCUGGAUUGUAAACUUCUUUUAUCUGGGACGAAACACUUCUUUUCUAAGAGGCCUGACGGUACCAGAUGAAUAAGCACCGGCUAACUCCGUGCCAGCAGCCGCGGUAAUACGGAGGGUGCAAGCGUUAUCCGGAUUCACUGGGUUUAAAGGGUGCGUAGGCGGGCAGGUAAGUCAGUGGUGAAAUCUUCCGGCUUAACCGGAAAACUGCCGUUGAUACUAUUUGUCUUGAAUAUUGCGGAGGUAAGCGGAAUAUGUCAUGUAGCGGUGAAAUGCAGAGAUAUGACAUGGAACACCAAUUGCGAAGGCAGCUUACUACACAAUGAUUGACGCUGAUGCACGAAAGCGUGGGGAGCGAAC
Molecule: ribosomal RNA, 421 nt
Filed under: uncultured bacterium
Lineage: Bacteria
Description: bacterial SSU rRNA
Rfam family: Bacterial small subunit ribosomal RNA
Source: RNAcentral